AUGGCGGCGGCGGCGAAGGUGAGCAACAGGAGCGUGAUCCUGAAGCGGCAUGUGACGGGGUUCCCCACCGAGGACGACAUGGAGCUCGUCACGGCGACGGUGCGCCUGGCCGUCCCGCCCGGGUCGGCGGCGGUGAUGGUGAAGAACAUGUACCUCUCCUGCGAUCCCUACAUGCGCAGCCGGAUGACCAACCACAAGGAGCCCAGCUACGUCCCGGACUACGUCCCAGGGGAGAUUAUACCGACUUUCGGUGUCAGCAAGGUGGUGGAAUCCGGGCACCCGGAUUACAAGGCCGGUGAUCUGGUGUGGGGAAUGACAGCAUGUGAAGAAUACACCUUGAUCACUACUCCGGAGUCGCUUUUCAAGAUCAACCAUCCCGAAUUACCGCUGUCGUACUACUUAGGUGUUCUCGGCAUGCCAGGCCUUACUGCAUAUGCUGGAUUUUUCGACGUGGCCAAGCCAAAAAAAGGCGACUAUGUGUUUAUCUCGGCAGCAUCAGGCGCCAUCGGACAACUUGUUGGGCAGCUUGCCAAGAUGACAGGUUGCUACGUAGUUGGCAGUGCCGGUUCUGAUGAGAAGGUCAACCUCCUGAAAACAAAGUUUGGAUUUGACGAUGCCUUCAACUACAAGAAGGAACAGGACCUCAACGCCGCACUAAAGAGGUGCUUCCCAGAGGGCAUUGACAUCUACUUCGACAAUGUGGGUGGUGCAAUAUUAGACGCUGCGCUACUCAACAUGAGGCUGCAUGGGCGGGUGGCCAUGUGCGGGUUGAUUUCGCAAUACAACCUGGAGCUGCAUGAGGGCGUGUGCAACCUUGCCUGCGUCGUUACCAAGCGCGUCCGCAUAGAGGGAUUCAUCGUGACGGAGUACUUCGGCACCUACCGCAAGUUCGAAGAGGAGAUGGUGGGUCACCUCAAGGAAGAGAACAUCACCUACGUGGAGGACGUCGCCGAGGGGAUCGAGAACAUGCCGGCAGCUCUUGUCGGGCUCUUCUACGGGCGCAACAUCGGAAAACAGCUGGUGGCUGUUGCACGGGAUUGA
This 1041-nucleotide ribosomal RNA is filed under the name Triticum aestivum (bread wheat). RNAcentral describes it as "partial small subunit ribosomal RNA". Lineage: Eukaryota; Viridiplantae; Streptophyta; Magnoliopsida; Poales; Poaceae. The record is from RNAcentral.